CAUUCACUACCCUCUGUCCCUUUCUCCUCAACCCUACAUAUGCUCCAGCUUGCCCUUUGGCUUCCUACAAUAUGGAGUCCAUUGCUUCAUAUCCUAGGUAUGCUCUUUCCAAGGAAGAGUAGAGUAGGAUUUGGUGAGUUUUUUGGACUGCUGUCUCAUGAUGCUGCUUGUGCUGAACUUGCAGCCCACUGAACCCUUUGGCAUUUUUCAUGGGAACUGUUACUAGCCACACUAAGCCUUUCACAGUUCCUACCCUGGCCGCUGCCUAGCUCCCAUCUCCCUCCUCGGCUUAGGCUGAAAAAUCAGUAGCUGCUGAUUGACUGUGUAGGGAGACAGGGACGCCUUGUGUUUGUUAGGUAUCGUCGUGCCCUGCCUGGGCGGGACAUAUUGAGGCUGGAAGACUGUCAAUCAAUCUAAGUGCCAACUGGCAGGGCCAGUUGAUGGAGAUGGCUUCUUGGCAUUUUUGGCACUGCCCCCGGGGCUGCAGAUGGCCUAUAAAGGAAGCACGGGACACACAGCCAGCAAUAAACCUCCAAGUGUGGCAGGACACAAGCAGCAACCAGACAAUCAGCAACUUCCAGCCCUGAGAAGCUCCUGUAUUCCUUAUUUCAGAGGACACCAGCCGUGACACUUACAUGGAGCUGCCAGGGGCCUUCCAAAUUUUGCAUCUAUGAAACAAAACCAAGGCAACCUCAAGCUGAUCCUGUGGCGGUUGAACAUGAUAUCGAGCUGAAGCCCAGCUCCCUAGCUGGGGGUAUCCAUCCAAGAAGUAUACCCAGUGAAGUCUGGCAUCCUGUACCCCUGCUCACAGG
Molecule: long non-coding RNA, 812 nt
Organism: Sarcophilus harrisii (Tasmanian devil)
Lineage: Eukaryota; Metazoa; Chordata; Mammalia; Dasyuromorphia; Dasyuridae
Exons: 3
Source: RefSeq, a predicted model, not a curated record